CCUACGGGUGGCAGCAGUGGGGAAUCUUCCGCAAUGGGCGAAAGCCUGACGGAGCAACGCCGCGUGAUCGAAUGAAGGCCUUCGGGUUGUAAAGAUCUGUUGACAGGGACGAAUAAGCCAUGCGAAUAGUUUGGUGUAUGACGGUUCCUGUUUAGAAAGCUCCGGCUAACUACGUGCCAGCAGCCGCGGUAAUACGUAGGGAGCAAGCGUUUACCGGAAUUACUUGGCGUAAAGGGCGCGUAGGUGGGUGGUUAAGUCAGGUGUGAAAACUCUGGGCUCAACCUGGAGACUGCACUUGAAACUGGGUAUCUUGAGGGCGGGAGAGGAUAGUGGAAUUCCUGGUGUAGGGGUGAAAUGCGUAGAUAUUAGGAGGAACACCAGUGGCGAAGGCGACUUUCUGGACUGUACCUGACGCUGAGGCGCGAAAGCGUGGGUAGCGAACGGGAUUAGAUACCCGGGUAGUC
Molecule: ribosomal RNA, 464 nt
Filed under: uncultured bacterium
Lineage: Bacteria
Description: partial 16S ribosomal RNA
Rfam family: Bacterial small subunit ribosomal RNA
Source: RNAcentral